GAUGAACGCUGGCGGCGUGCCUAAUACAUGCAAGUCGAGCGAACAGACGAGGAGCUUGCUCCUCUGACGUUAGCGGCGGACGGGUGAGUAACACGUGGAUAACCUACCUAUAAGACUGGGAUAACUUCGGGAAACCGGAGCUAAUACCGGAUAAUAUAUUGAACCGCAUGGUUCAAUAGUGGAAGACGGUUUUGCUGUCACUUAUAGAUGGAUCCGCGCCGCAUUAGCUAGUUGGUAAGGUAACGGCUUACCAAGGCAACGAUGCGUAGCCGACCUGAGAGGGUGAUCGGCCACACUGGAACUGAGACACGGUCCAGACUCCUACGGGAGGCAGCAGUAGGGAAUCUUCCGCAAUGGGCGGAAGCCUGACGGAGCAACGCCGCGUGAGUGAUGAAGGUCUUCGGAUCGUAAAACUCUGUUAUUAGGGAAGAACAAAUGUGUAAGUAACUAUGCACGUCUUGACGGUACCUAAUCAGAAAGCCACGGCUAACUACGUG
This 497-nucleotide ribosomal RNA is filed under the name uncultured bacterium. RNAcentral's name for it is "partial 16S ribosomal RNA". It matches the Rfam family "Bacterial small subunit ribosomal RNA", at positions 28 to 507 of the family's 1533-position model. The record is from RNAcentral.